AGCUACCGUAUCUCGGUACUCGAAACUCCGAUUCUUGAUCCGCUUGUUUUGUUAUAAACCUCACUUGUAACACUAAUUGAGCUACAAAUUUCAGAGGCCGGUUUGCAACGUGUGAAUCGUGCCGAAUUUCCAAAGUUGGCCGAAAUCCAACUUAAUUCUGCCAUGAAAACCAACCCUGCGUCUUCAAACUCAUUUUUGAACACUUUUCACUUCGAUUCAUAGAAAAGUGUCUUCUAGGGACUUAUAGUACUUUCUAAGAGGUUUCCAACGGUAUAAAGUUUUCCAAUUCUUGACUUAUACCGAGCGAGUUAUGAUUUUUCAAAAAUUCAUAAUAAAACUGAAAAUUUUCCAAUUUCAAAGAAAUAGAGUUUUUCAAGAACUCUUUAUUCUUUUGAUAUUCUUAAACGUUUUGCCCUCG
This 418-nucleotide long non-coding RNA is filed under the name Coffea arabica (coffee). RNAcentral describes it as "long non-coding RNA (CARA_LNC005075)". The record is from RNAcentral. Lineage: Eukaryota; Viridiplantae; Streptophyta; Magnoliopsida; Gentianales; Rubiaceae.